CCUACGGGGGGCUGCAGUAAGGAAUAUUGGUCAAUGGAGGAAACUCUGAACCAGCCAUCCCGCGUGAAGGAUGAAGGGGCUCUGCCUUGUAAACUUCUUUUGUCUGGGGCGAAAAAGCUCGAUUUAUCGAGAACUGACGGUACCAGAACAAUAAGCACCGGCUAACUCCGUGCCAGCAGCCGCGGUAAUACGGAGGGUGCAGGCGUUAUCCGGAAUCAAGGGGUUGUAGGCGUAUGUGGAAGUCUGAGGAGAAAGGCUGUGGCUUAACCAUGGAACUGCCAUUGAUACUGCAGAGCUUGAAUGAGGUUGAGGUUGGCGGAAUGUGACAUGUAGCGGUGAAAUGCUUAGAUAUGUCAUGGAACACCGAUUGCGAAGGCAGCUGACUGGACCUAUAUUGACGCUGAGGCACGAAAGCGUGGGGAGCGAACAGGAUUAGAUACCCCUGUAGUC
Molecule: ribosomal RNA, 450 nt
Filed under: uncultured bacterium
Lineage: Bacteria
Description: partial 16S ribosomal RNA
Rfam family: Bacterial small subunit ribosomal RNA
Source: RNAcentral